GGUUUGAUUCUGGCUCAGGAUGAACGCUAGCUACAGGCUUAACACAUGCAAGUCGAGGGGCAGCAUGGUCUUAGCUUGCUAAGGCCGAUGGCGACCGGCGCACGGGUGAGUAACACGUAUCCAACCUGCCGUCUACUCUUGGACAGCCUUCUGAAAGGAAGAUUAAUACAAGAUGGCAUCAUGAGUCCGCAUGUUCACAUGAUUAAAGGUAUUCCGGUAGACGAUGGGGAUGCGUUCCAUUAGAUAGUAGGCGGGGUAACGGCCCACCUAGUCUUCGAUGGAUAGGGGUUCUGAGAGGAAGGUCCCCCACAUUGGAACUGAGACACGGUCCAAACUCCUACGGGAGGCAGCAGUGAGGAAUAUUGGUCAAUGGGCGAGAGCCUGAACCAGCCAAGUAGCGUGAAGGAUGACUGCCCUAUGGGUUGUAAACUUCUUUUAUAAAGGAAUAAAGUCGGGUAUGGAUACCCGUUUGCAUGUACUUUAUGAAUAAGGAUCGGCUAACUCCGUGCCAGCAGCCGCGGUAAUACGGAGGAUCCGAGCGUUAUCCGGAUUUAUUGGGUUUAAAGGGAGCGUAGAUGGAUGUUUAAGUCAGUUGUGAAAGUUUGCGGCUCAACCGUAAAAUUGCAGUUGAUACUGGAUAUCUUGAGUGCAGUUGAGGCAGGCGGAAUUCGUGGUGUAGCGGUGAAAUGCUUAGAUAUCACGAAGAACUCCGAUUGCGAAGGCAGCCUGCUAAGCUGCAACUGACAUUGAGGCUCGAAAGUGUGGGUAUCAAACAGGAUUAGAUACCCUGGUAGUCCACACGGUAAACGAUGAAUACUCGCUGUUUGCGAUAUACUGCAAGCGGCCAAGCGAAAGCGUUAAGUAUUCCACCUGGGGAGUACGCCGGCAACGGUGAAACUCAAAGGAAUUGACGGGGGCCCGCACAAGCGGAGGAACAUGUGGUUUAAUUCGAUGAUACGCGAGGAACCUUACCCGGGCUUAAAUUGCAGAUGAAUUACGGUGAAAGCCGUAAGCCGCAAGGCAUCUGUGAAGGUGCUGCAUGGUUGUCGUCAGCUCGUGCCGUGAGGUGUCGGCUUAAGUGCCAUAACGAGCGCAACCCUUGUUGUCAGUUACUAACAGGUUCCGCUGAGGACUCUGACAAGACUGCCAUCGUAAGAUGUGAGGAAGGUGGGGAUGACGUCAAAUCAGCACGGCCCUUACGUCCGGGGCUACACACGUGUUACAAUGGGGGGUACAGAGGGCCGCUACCACGCGAGUGGAUGCCAAUCCCCAAAACCUCUCUCAGUUCGGACUGGAGUCUGCAACCCGACUCCACGAAGCUGGAUUCGCUAGUAAUCGCGCAUCAGCCACGGCGCGGUGAAUACGUUCCCGGGCCUUGUACACACCGCCCGUCAAGCCAUGGGAGCCGGGGGUACCUGAAGUGCGUAACCGCGAGGAGCGCCCUAGGGUAAAACUGGUGACUGGGGCUAAGUCGUAACAAGGUAUCC
Molecule: ribosomal RNA, 1487 nt
Filed under: uncultured bacterium
Lineage: Bacteria
Description: bacterial SSU rRNA
Rfam family: Bacterial small subunit ribosomal RNA
Source: RNAcentral